RNAcentral lists this long non-coding RNA (399 nucleotides) under Catagonus wagneri (Chacoan peccary). RNAcentral describes it as "lncRNA (ENSCWAG00000009417.1)". The record is from RNAcentral. Lineage: Eukaryota; Metazoa; Chordata; Mammalia; Artiodactyla; Tayassuidae.
GGGCGCUCGGAGGGACGGCAGGCUGGGGUCCCGUCCAGGCUGCAGGGGUCCCUGUUCCUCCGAAGCCCAGAGCCAGGUGGACACGGCGGCAUGGACCAGCCAGGGCCGGCGGCUCCCGGUUCAGAAGAGAAUGAAGUGAAGUGUGACGCCAACAACAACGAGGAGGAGGAAGGAGAACAGCUGGAUCUUGACAGUGGAGAUGAAAUUCCGGAAGCAGACAGACAAGUGCCAGGCGCCCCUGGGGUGGGGGACGCGGGAGCAGACACCCUCAGCCCCGCCACCACUGCUGCCCCCGCCCCCGCCACCUGCACCACCCACGCCACCCCCGGGUCAGGUACGUCUGCCGGUGCCCCCCAGAGGCCGGCGGCCCACCUGCGGGUAGAGCGUCCUGGGGAAAGU